CACGUAGGGCGCAAGCGUUGUCCGGAAUUAUUGGGCGUAAAGAGCUCGUAGGCGGUCUGUUGCGUCCGCUGUGAAAACUCGGGGCUUAACCCCGAGCCUGCAGUGGAUACGGGCAGACUAGAGGUAGGUAGGGGAGAAUGGAAUUCCCGGUGUAGCGGUGAAAUGCGCAGAUAUCGGGAGGAACACCGGUGGCGAAGGCGGUUCUCUGGGCCUUACCUGACGCUGAUACGCGAAAGCGUGGGGAGCAAACAGG
Molecule: ribosomal RNA, 253 nt
Filed under: uncultured bacterium
Lineage: Bacteria
Description: partial 16S ribosomal RNA
Rfam family: Bacterial small subunit ribosomal RNA
Source: RNAcentral